CGGGGCUAAUACCGGAUAACACAUGAAACCGCAUGGUUUCAUGAUGAAAGACGGUUUUGCUGUCACUUAUAGAUGGACCCGCGGAGUAUUAGCUAGUUGGUAAGGUAACGGCUUACCAAGGCAACGAUACGUAGCCGACCUGAGAGGGUGAUCGGCCACACUGGAACUGAGACACGGUCCAG
RNAcentral lists this ribosomal RNA (182 nucleotides) under uncultured Staphylococcus sp. Its description in RNAcentral is "partial 16S ribosomal RNA". It matches the Rfam family "Bacterial small subunit ribosomal RNA", at positions 158 to 334 of the family's 1533-position model. The record is from RNAcentral. Lineage: Bacteria; Bacillati; Bacillota; Bacilli; Caryophanales; Staphylococcaceae.